This 75-nucleotide transfer RNA is filed under the name Cyanophora paradoxa. RNAcentral describes it as "tRNA-Leu". It matches the Rfam family "tRNA". From Rfam's summary of the family: Transfer RNA (tRNA) molecules are approximately 80 nucleotides in length. Their secondary structure includes four short double-helical elements and three loops (D, anti-codon, and T loops). Lineage: Eukaryota; Glaucocystophyceae; Cyanophorales; Cyanophoraceae. The record is from RNAcentral.
GCAGGUAUGAUGGAAUUGGGAGACAUGUUUGAUUUAGGCUCAAAUGGCAAUGCUGUGCAGGUUCAAGUCCUGCUA